This 2760-nucleotide long non-coding RNA is filed under the name Marmota monax (woodchuck). Lineage: Eukaryota; Metazoa; Chordata; Mammalia; Rodentia; Sciuridae. The record is from RNAcentral.
GUUUCGACCCAUCUCAACAAUGGAGUUCAACCUUCCUGUGUCUCCUUUAGGUCAGGCAGGGUGAGACUUUCCAUCCCUGACUAGGAAGGGCCCACACCCUUGUUAGCUUGAAGCAGUUCUGGAAGAUAGAUUUUCAACCUUCAUCAACCUUGAGAAUAAGAGGUCAAAAUCAGGGCAGGAAGAAAUAAGGUGGCAUAGAAGUCAUAGGAUAGGUAAAAGAGAAACAGACAGGGAAGGAAAGAAGGACCAUCACUAUCCAUCUAAGAUCUCCAUGAAAACACUCACCUUUACCUCACCCCCACCCUAGGCCUGUUUCUCCUCCCAGGACCACCUUCUUAAAACUCAAUAAAACUUAAGGGUAUUGAAGUCCAGUUCAUUUGUGCCUAUGUACCUUGUUAGGUGACAGAAUGAAUUUUAAGACUAACAUAAAAAGCCUAGAGAGAGCAAUGGGGAAAGUCCAAGCACUGGUGUCAAUCCAAAGAUUCUGAAAGAACCAGACUCUUGGGACCCACGCAUGCUCAGCGGUCAUCAAACGAAUCAAGAUUAUGCUGACACCACCCCACCUCCGCUCAUGUCCACCCUUUACAAAGUGUCCUUUAAAGGUCUCCUGAGCCCUUUUCCUCUAGAGUUUUAAGCACAUUUUUCUCUAGAGUUCUGCAAUCCCUCUCCCUUUGAGUGCAUAUCCUGCUCUAUUGCUUGCUUUCCUGAAUAAGUCUCUUCUUGUGCAUCCUUUGUCAGGUCCUGUAAUUUCUUUCCAUGGUAAAUCAAGAAUCUGCUGGGGCUUACAUGAGCCGUAAAACCCCACAAAUCGAUAAGGAAUGAAGACAAAGAUAUUCAGAAAGGGUUUUACGGCCCAUGUCGCACACAGGCGGUGGACAUGGGGUUCCCCUCUGGUGGAAUGGGCUGGCUGAGAAAUAAAAGCAAAGAGAAAUAAAAUGGCAAAAUAAUCACAGAACACAGAAAGUAGUUUCAAAGGAGGAGCAAGACAGGGAAGCUGACCAGAUGGGUCCAGCUUCUGACACACAAAGAAGCCCACGUCUGCUUUAUUUAUAUUGGGAAAUAUCAAAGACUUUCCAUAGAAAGUUCUUCAACAAAAUAGGAUAGUGGUGGAGGUUGGUAGGCAGCUCAGUUCCUAACAGGUUACUGCCCAUCCCUGGUGCUACUGCGAGGGACCUUUCUAGCUGAUUGGAGGGGAAGAUCACGUGCACUGGGUGGUCUGUCUCUGUGGGAGAGUCAUGGGAAGUUCCCAAUGCCAGACCUAUUCCCUCCCUAGCUGCAUGCCUAGAAAAGGUUCUCAUGCAUUUCACAGAUGGCUUCCUGCAGGGUUUGGGGGAAAGUUCAGGGAUAGGUAGUUGUCUAGAGGAGGAAAUAACCUCUAAUUUAUAAAAUUCUUGAAUCACAAUGUAUUCCCUCAGCUCUCAAAAAAUGUAUUCCAUCCAUUCUUGGAAAUAUAACUUACUGGUUUCUGAUGAUACUGAAGGGAACCUGUCAGCUAGACUGGAUUUUGUUCAAGUCAUUCCUUAGCUAGUCUCUGCCCAUGAUGUAAGCAUUGUAUCAGCAGUUCAUCAGGAAGAAAUGAUCAAGACACAGACAUGAAGAAGCAUGAAAGGCAUCUUGUUUUCAUUUAAUAAUCACAGUUAUGUCUCCGACUUUCUUAGUUCACUGACCAGAGCAGAUUUUCUCCCCUCACACUUUCUCCUCAGUGUAAAGAAAACAAUAAGAGACACAGAGACAAGAUGCAGAAGCAGGAAAGAUGGCAGAAUGGCAGAAUGGCCAAGCUACCAGCUUAAUUUAUAUCAAUAGGUUAUAGUAGGUCAGUGGCAUCAGUAUUACAUUAUUGUCCAUUGUCAUUAGGUAGGUUAUAGAGUUAGCAACAUCAUGCAGCUUAUUCCUCAGUUACAUACUGUAGUUGCAAUACGCAAUGUUAGGAGCAUUGUGUAGCUCUCAAGAAAAUUCAUUGUUUAAAGUGACUAUUAUGUGGCCAGGUUCAGGUGCAGCAGAGCUUGGUGAAACAUUGUGGUUAUCUAACAAGAGAGUUUUGUUAUUUCCAGGAGCUGUGUGCUUGAGAUCAAAGUCGAGGCUGAUAAGACUCUAGUACAGAGCAUAAAGCGGGGCACUGCUAUAGCAGCCAGGCAUCCUGUAUCUUUGCAGCCAGGCAUUCUGUGUCUUUGCACAGAAACUCCCUAGCCACCUAGCAUGCCAGUCAUAAAUCUAUCAGAGACUUCUAUCCCAAACACAGAAUCCUUACACCUCAGCUGCCCUUUGCAAGCAGGAUAUUUUGAUGAUGGGAAGAUAGGAAGGAGAAGACGGAGAAGUUGGCACAUUCUAACACAGUAAGGGUGAACGUGAAGGCUGAUUUUGUUCACUGACUACAAUCAACUUUGACUUCUUUGUGGUGAAUUACUCUGCCAACUAGAAGUGUGACUUUUGAUGCAUGAUAGAGGGUUAGGUGGUAAGGACAGGAGGAUGUCUUUAGUACCAAGAUCUUAUCUGCUGUGCAUGGGGGAUUAUUAACCCAGCAGACUCAAGGUCAGUCAGAAUCUCUCCUGAGGUCUUGUGUAACUGUAGAACAUUGUGUUGAAAGUCCUGCAAAUCAGGCAAUGGACACUUUAUCUGGCUUGUUGGGCAGUGUGUGUUCUUGGAGAUACUAGUAGAGACCCGGCUGGGAAAGAUCUUGCUAGAAGUGCCCUGAGCAUAGGUCUAAGUGAAAGUGAUGGAAGCAUCAUGGGUGGUUUGCGGAGGUAAUUCUAGUGCUCCCUG